RNAcentral lists this ribosomal RNA (443 nucleotides) under uncultured bacterium. RNAcentral's name for it is "partial 16S ribosomal RNA". It matches the Rfam family "Bacterial small subunit ribosomal RNA", at positions 338 to 795 of the family's 1533-position model. The record is from RNAcentral.
CCUACGGGAGGCAGCAGUGGGGGAUAUUGGACAAUGGGGGGGAACCCUGAUCCAGCGACGCCGCGUGAGUGAAGAAGUAUUUCGGUAUGUAAAGCUCUGUCAGCAGGGAAGAAAGCAAUGACGGUACCUGACCAAGAAGCCCCGGCUAACUACGUGCCAGCAGCCGCGGUAAUACGUAGGGGGCAAGCGUUAUCCGGAAUUACUGGGUGUAAAGGGAGCGUAGACGGCUGUGCAAGUCUGGAGUGAAAGGCGGGGGCCAACCCCCGGACUGCUCUGGAAACUGUAUGGCUGGAGUGCAGGAGAGGUAAGCGGAAUUCCUAGUGUAGCGGUGAAAUGCGGAGAUAUUAGGAGGAACACCAGUGGCGAAGGCGGCUUACUGGACUGUAACUGACGUUGAGGCUCGAAAGCGUGGGGAGCAAACAGGAUUAGAUACCCCAGUAGUC